GUUAUAUGUUACCACAAUAUGAUUAAAGUAUUAUAUAAACUGAUUUUUUAAUAACAAUAAAUUAAUCAUUAUACUAAAGUCUGUAUUUUUUUUCCCCUUAUAUCCAUCACAUUGGCGUUAAGUUGCAUAUACAAAAGUAAGUGGCACCACCAGGCGAUAACAAACAGGUCUCAUAAUAAAGCUUCCAGUUACGGUCAAGUAUUUAAUAGCAGCCUUUCAGUGCAUUUCUGCCUGGUGAAAAAGAGCCAAUGAUAAAAUACAGCGUGGCAAAAUCGAAGUAAGCAUAAAUUGCCACGCAGCCGCCAGGUGGCGCCACGGAGACGAGUCAAAAGUGACCGGAAACUGGUAGAAAUUCGACGGAAACGGAUAUGCUAUCUCAUAAUAAAGC
This 388-nucleotide unclassified non-coding RNA is filed under the name Melitaea cinxia (Glanville fritillary). RNAcentral's name for it is "misc RNA ENSMCXG00005010717.1". The record is from RNAcentral. Lineage: Eukaryota; Metazoa; Arthropoda; Insecta; Lepidoptera; Nymphalidae.